CAAGAUACAGGCUAGCGGCGGACGGGUGAGUAACACGUGGGUAAACCUGCCCAAGAGAUCGGGGAUAACACCUGGGAAACAGAUGCUAAUACCCGGAUAACAACAGAUGAUGCCUAUCAACUGUUUAAAGAUGGUUCUGCUAUCACUCUUGGGAUGGACCUGCGGUGCAUUAGCUAGUUGGUAGGGGUAACGGGCCUACCCAAGGCGAUGAUGCAUAGCCCGAGUUGAGAGACUGAUCGGGCCACAUUGGGACUGAGACACGGCCAAAAACUCCUACGGGGAGGCAGCAGUAGGGAAUCUUCCACAAUGGACGCAAGUCUGAUGGAACAAACGCCGCGUGAGUGAAGAAGGGUUUCGGCUCGUAAAAGCUCUGUUGUUGGUGAAGAAGGACAGGGGUAGUAACUGACCUUUGUUUGACGGUAAUCAAUUAGAAAGUCACGGCUAACUACGUGCCAGCAGCCGCGGUAAU
This 469-nucleotide ribosomal RNA is filed under the name uncultured Lactobacillus sp. RNAcentral's name for it is "bacterial SSU rRNA". It matches the Rfam family "Bacterial small subunit ribosomal RNA", at positions 81 to 524 of the family's 1533-position model. The record is from RNAcentral. Lineage: Bacteria; Bacillati; Bacillota; Bacilli; Lactobacillales; Lactobacillaceae.